This 497-nucleotide ribosomal RNA is filed under the name uncultured bacterium. RNAcentral describes it as "partial 16S ribosomal RNA". It matches the Rfam family "Bacterial small subunit ribosomal RNA", at positions 28 to 507 of the family's 1533-position model. The record is from RNAcentral.
GAUGAACGCUGGCGGCGUGCCUAAUACAUGCAAGUCGAGCGAACAGACGAGGAGCUUGCUCCUCUGACGUUAGCGGCGGACGGGUGAGUAACACGUGGAUAACCUACCUAUAAGACUGGGAUAACUUCGGGAAACCGGAGCUAAUACCGGAUAAUAUAUUGAACCGCAUGGUUCAAUAGUGAAAGACGGUUUUGCUGUCACUUAUAGAUGGAUCCGCGCCGCAUUAGCUAGUUGGUAAGGUAACGGCUUACCAAGGCAACGAUGCGUAGCCGACCUGAGAGGGUGAUCGGCCACACUGGAACUGAGACACGGUCCAGACUCCUACGGGAGGCUGCAGUAGGGAAUCUUCCGCAAUGGGCGAAAGCCUGACGGAGCAACGCCGCGUGAGUGAUGAAGGUCUUCGGAUCGUAAAACUCUGUUAUUAGGGAAGAACAAAUGUGUAAGUAACUAUGCUCGUCUUGACGGUACCUAAUCAGAAAGCCACGGCUAACUACGUG